GGAGUUAGCCGGUGCUUCUUCUGCGAGUAACGUCACAGAUGUAAGGUAUUAACUUACACCCUUUCCUCCUCGCUGAAAGUGCUUUACAACCCGAAGUCCUUCUUCACACACGCGGCAUGGCUGCAUCAGGGUUUCCCCCAUUGUGCAAUAUUCCCCACUGCUGCCUCCCGUAGGAGUCUGGGCCGUGUCUCAGUCCCAGUGUGGCUGAUCAUCCUCUCAGACCAGCUAGGGAUCGUCGCCUAGGUGAGCCUUUACCUCACCUACUAGCUAAUCCCACCUGGGCUUAUCCAUCAGCGCAAGGCCCGAAGGUCCCCUGCUUUCCCCCGUAGGGCGUAUGCGGUAUUAGCAGUCGUUUCCAACUGUUAUCCCCCACAAAUGGGCAAAUUCCCAGUCAUUACUCACCCGUCCGCCGCUCGUCAUCUUCAAAAGCAAGCUUUUGAAAUGUUACCGCUCGACUUGCAUGUGUUAGGCCUGCCGCCAGCGUUCAAUCUGAGCCAGGAUCAAACUCUGA
This 511-nucleotide ribosomal RNA is filed under the name uncultured bacterium. RNAcentral's name for it is "partial 16S ribosomal RNA". The record is from RNAcentral.